This 465-nucleotide ribosomal RNA is filed under the name uncultured bacterium. RNAcentral describes it as "partial 16S ribosomal RNA". It matches the Rfam family "Bacterial small subunit ribosomal RNA", at positions 28 to 507 of the family's 1533-position model. The record is from RNAcentral.
GAUGAACGCUGGCGGCGUGCUUAACACAUGCAAGUCGAACGGAAAGGCUCCUGCUUGCAGGGGUUCUCGAGUGGCGAACGGGUGAGUAACACGUGGGUGAUCUGCCCUGCACUUCGGGAUAAGCCUGGGAAACUGGGUCUAAUACCGGAUAGGACCACAUUUUGGAUGGUGUGGUGGAAAGUUUUUCGGUGUGGGCUGAGCUGGGGGCCUAUCAGCUUGUUGGUGGGGUAAUGGCCUACCAAGGCGUCGACGGGUAGCCGGCAUGAGAGGUUGUACGGCCACAUUGGGACUGAGAGACGGCCCAGACUCCAACGGGAGACAGCAGUGGGGAGUAUUGCACAGUGGGCGCAAGCCUGAUGCAGCGACGCCGCGUGGGGGAUGACGGCCUUCGGGUUGUAAACUCCUUUCGCUAGGGACGAAGCGCAAGUGACGGUACCUGGAGAAGAAGCACCGGCUAACUACGUG